RNAcentral lists this small RNA (107 nucleotides) under Flavobacteriaceae bacterium. RNAcentral's name for it is "6S RNA". It matches the Rfam family "6S-Flavo RNA". The record is from RNAcentral. RNAcentral also lists the same sequence under 1 other name. Lineage: Bacteria; Pseudomonadati; Bacteroidota; Flavobacteriia; Flavobacteriales; Flavobacteriaceae.
ACUCAACGAAAUUUUUAACAACGGGUAAGUCCGUUUGGUAAAAGCAAGCUUUCUUGAAAAGAUCCUUGAGCCAAAGGUUAGCCCAAAUCCUGUUUAUAUAGGAGUUU